GGUGAGAGCUGCCUGAGGCCCAGAGAAUCAGAGUCUGUGAGGAGUCAGAGACAGGAUGCAGCAGGAGUGAGCUGACAGGAGUUGCUUAGGAGAGAGCUGAAUUUGGAAGGACAACCAUAAUUGUGACCUGCUGGAGUACACCAUCAAAGAGGGAUCUUAAAACAAGACGCCAAGCAUGACAAGGACAAGCAGCUCUCUUUGUGGAAUCUACCAUCACAGAACUUUUUUUUUCUUACCCCCAAAUAAAGAGAACAUUCACCUGUUGUUGUGAGAAAAGUUAUUAUUUCUUCAUUAGGUGAGCUUAACAUUUCCAAGGACUCUGCUUUCUGAAGAGACAGGCAGCAAUUUUGUGUCCACUGUAUGCUCUCGUUGGAGACACAUACACUCUGUGAUCUUUCUUGGAUUACUUUUGUUCUUUCUCGUUCUCUGUUCUCUUAAUCUAAAAUAAAGGUCAUCCUGCCUGAAAGGAUCUGUUUGUUCG
Chelonia mydas (Green sea turtle) is the source of this 481-nucleotide long non-coding RNA. RefSeq lists it as uncharacterized. Lineage: Eukaryota; Metazoa; Chordata; Testudines; Cheloniidae. The transcript has 3 exons. The record is from RefSeq and is a predicted model, not a curated record.